RNAcentral lists this ribosomal RNA (861 nucleotides) under Vibrio parahaemolyticus. RNAcentral's name for it is "bacterial SSU rRNA". It matches the Rfam family "Bacterial small subunit ribosomal RNA", at positions 67 to 930 of the family's 1533-position model. The record is from RNAcentral. Lineage: Bacteria; Pseudomonadati; Pseudomonadota; Gammaproteobacteria; Vibrionales; Vibrionaceae.
CGGGGAACGAUAACGGCGUCGAGCGGCGGACGGGUGAGUAAUGCCUAGGAAAUUGCCCUGAUGUGGGGGAUAACCAUUGGAAACGAUGGCUAAUACCGCAUGAUGCCUACGGGCCAAAGAGGGGGACCUUCGGGCCUCUCGCGUCAGGAUAUGCCUAGGUGGGAUUAGCUAGUUGGUGAGGUAAGGGCUCACCAAGGCGACGAUCCCUAGCUGGUCUGAGAGGAUGAUCAGCCACACUGGAACUGAGACACGGUCCAGACUCCUACGGGAGGCAGCAGUGGGGAAUAUUGCACAAUGGGCGCAAGCCUGAUGCAGCCAUGCCGCGUGUGUGAAGAAGGCCUUCGGGUUGUAAAGCACUUUCAGUCGUGAGGAAGGUAGUGUAGUUAAUAGCUGCAUUAUUUGACGUUAGCGACAGAAGAAGCACCGGCUAACUCCGUGCCAGCAGCCGCGGUAAUACGGAGGGUGCGAGCGUUAAUCGGAAUUACUGGGCGUAAAGCGCAUGCAGGUGGUUUGUUAAGUCAGAUGUGAAAGCCCGGGGCUCAACCUCGGAAUUGCAUUUGAAACUGGCAGACUAGAGUACUGUAGAGGGGGGUAGAAUUUCAGGUGUAGCGGUGAAAUGCGUAGAGAUCUGAAGGAAUACCGGUGGCGAAGGCGGCCCCCUGGACAGAUACUGACACUCAGAUGCGAAAGCGUGGGGAGCAAACAGGAUUAGAUACCCUGGUAGUCCACGCCGUAAACGAUGUCUACUUGGAGGUUGUGGCCUUGAGCCGUGGCUUUCGGAGCUAACGCGUUAAGUAGACCGCCUGGGGAGUACGGUCGCAAGAUUAAAACUCAAAUGAAUUGACGGGGCCCCGCACAGGC